GACGAACGCUGGCGGCGUGCUUAACGCAUGCAAGUCGAACGAUGAAGCCGGAGCUUGCUCUGGUGAAUUAGUGGCGAACGGGUGAGUAACACGUGAGUAACCUGCCCUUGACUCUGGGAUAACUGCUAGAAAUGGUAGCUAAUACCGGAUACGACCCUCGGAGGCAUCUUCAGGGGGUGGAAAGAAUUUCGGUCAAGGAUGGACUCGCGGCCUAUCAGCUAGUUGGUGAGGUAAAGGCUCACCAAGGCGACGACGGGUAGCCGGCCUGAGAGGGUGACCGGCCACACUGGGACUGAGACACGGCCCAGACUCCUACGGGAGGCAGCAGUGGGGAAUAUUGCACAAUGGGCGCAAGCCUGAUGCAGCAACGCCGCGUGAGGGAUGAAGGCCUUCGGGUUGUAAACCUCUUUUAGCAGGGAAGAAGCGAAAGUGACGGUACCUGCAGAAAAAGCACCGGCUAACUACGUGCCAGCAGCCGCCGCGG
Molecule: ribosomal RNA, 484 nt
Filed under: uncultured bacterium
Lineage: Bacteria
Description: partial 16S ribosomal RNA
Rfam family: Bacterial small subunit ribosomal RNA
Source: RNAcentral